This is a long non-coding RNA of Metopolophium dirhodum (rose-grain aphid), 576 nucleotides long. RefSeq lists it as uncharacterized. The record is from RefSeq and is a predicted model, not a curated record. The transcript is spliced from 3 exons. NCBI's taxonomy places the organism in Eukaryota, Metazoa, Arthropoda, Insecta, Hemiptera, Aphididae.
UAGUAUUAUCAAUAUCCGUAUUGCGUCUUUUCGAGUUCUCACUUCAGUUGCAGAUGUGUGAAUUUUCGUUCCUAUUACUUCUGUCAAAUAUCAUCACUGCCGUCUCAAUUUAUCUGGCAACGACUGUAACAUAAUUAUAUUUUCGAUAUAAAAUGAUUUAUUGAUUUAGGCAAUUUUGACAGAGCUGUUAGGAAACACAACAUAUGAAGGUAAUAAAUUCAACUGUAAGAACAAUAUUACAAUAUCACAGGAAGACCUUCUUCAAUACAAACCUAACCAAGUUCAAUACAGUCUAAAAUACAUAUUAAAGAUAUUCACCCUACACAAUAAAUAAAUGAAACCUUUCUCAAAGCACUUCAUUUAAUAUAUCAGAAAUCCGCUGUUAAUAAAAUAUUUGGCCAACCUGAUGAAGCUGAACUUUAUAAACUCUCUAUAAAAGUAGCACUUGAGCUACAACCAAGCAUUCAAAAUAUGAUAGCAAGCGCUUGGGCUAUGAAUACUAUUCAUUUUACUAUGAAUUAGUAUCAAGUUAAAAUUCUCUUUAUUUAAAAAUAAAAUGUUUUUUUUAUCUUAGGC